This 497-nucleotide ribosomal RNA is filed under the name uncultured bacterium. RNAcentral describes it as "partial 16S ribosomal RNA". It matches the Rfam family "Bacterial small subunit ribosomal RNA", at positions 28 to 507 of the family's 1533-position model. The record is from RNAcentral.
GAUGAACGCUGGCGGCGUGCCUAAUACAUGCAAGUCGAGCGAACAGAUAAGGAGCUUGCUCCUUUGACGUUAGCGGCGGACGGGUGAGUAACACGUGGGUAACCUACCUAUAAGACUGGAAUAACUUCGGGAAACCGGGGCUAAUGCCGGAUAACAUUUAGAACCGCAUGGUUCUAAAGUGAAAGAUGGUUUUGCUAUCACUUAUAGAUGGACCCGCGCCGCAUUAGCUAGUUGGUAAGGUAACGGCUUACCAAGGCAACGAUACGUAGCCGACCUGAGAGGGUGAUCGGCCACACUGGAACUGAGACACGGUCCAGACUCCUACGGGAGGCAGCAGUAGGGAAUCUUCCGCAAUGGGCGAAAGCCUGACGGAGCAACGCCGCGUGAGUGAUGAAGGUCUUCGGAUCGUAAAACUCUGUUAUUAGGGAAGAACAAAUGUGUAAGUAACUGUGCACGUCUUGACGGUACCUAAUCAGAAAGCCACGGCUAACUACGUG